This is a long non-coding RNA of Balaenoptera acutorostrata (minke whale), 3260 nucleotides long. RefSeq lists it as uncharacterized. NCBI's taxonomy places the organism in Eukaryota, Metazoa, Chordata, Mammalia, Artiodactyla, Balaenopteridae. The record is from RefSeq and is a predicted model, not a curated record. The transcript is spliced from 11 exons.
CGGGAGGAAGCGUAGUCCUCCGGCCCGGGCUCGGGGGUGGGCUUACGACCCUCACGGCUCGGCUUCUGCAACUUUCCACCUUCUAAGCGAUUUCUGGACCGGACGGUGGCGAGUGCUUCGUGUUUACCCUCAUGCCUGGAAACUCAGAAGACCUCUGUGGUUGUUGGUUAUUCCAGGCGGGGACCACUGGAGGAUGUUCGUAUGAGGCAGAGGAGCCGACCCUCCCUCACUCUCAAAGGUCACCAAAGGUGGGCUUGCAGCUGGUGAAUUGCCAGGGAGCUUUGCUCUGAGGUGGCUGUGAUUUGCCACAAACCAGCUUAGCUGAGCUGAAGUUUUUGCAGUCAGCUGUUUCUGUAUCCAGGGAAGGACACUGGCCACAUGCCUCCCGGUGGUCUUCUCUGCAGGGCCCUGAGAAUCUCAAAAGAGCAAGGCACAGGCAAGGGAAGAGCCUAGAGGACUUGGAAGACAGGAACUACAGUUCUGCAGACUAGAAGGAGAUGCUGGUAACCAUCAGCCCUUUUAUGAUGAGUAAAAUGAGGCCAGGAUAGAAAAAAAAUCCAGUAAGAGGCAGUAAGCAGAACCAGAAGUCAAGAUGGGGGUCCUGAGUUCCAGCCUUGGAUGCCACCCAAGUCUGUGGAGAAGGUGAAGACAUAGCUGGGGUGACCUCAGGUGCCAUCAGCUCCUGGGCUGGUUGGAGCUGAGCUUUGCUGCUGAGCCGGGCUGGCCUUCACUGCUCUCUGGGAAGAUUGGACCUGGCUGCUUGUGAACAUUUCCAGGCCUGUGCAGCCACCCUCUCCCCCCAGGACCUCAAGCUGAUUUGAAUAUCACAUUCUAUUGUGUGGAGGUGCAAUGUGAGGUUCUUGGGUCAAGAGCAGCUCCUGGACACUGAGCACUGGGCUGACUGUCUGUGCCUGCAGCCCAGGGCGUGGCGCACAGCUUCCCCCAGCAGAGGCCUUCUUCCCCGCUUGUCGCUCCCACAGACCCUCCAGCUGAAGAUUGAGAAGCCACUAGGAAGCAGACUGAGUCACUUGGGCAAUGAUUCAGCCACACCAACCGUGAACUCUCAAUGACUUGGGCUAAUGAAGAGAAGAAUGGCAUGGAUAAUCUAAAAAUAAUGGAUGAUGGGAAAGGAAUUCAGCCUGCUCGUGGAGUGUGCCAGGAUACAGUCCUGGAUACAGAGCCCCAGGACACUUGAUGUCAAGACCCAGCUCUGCCGCUAACUUGGGCAAGUCACAUCAUCUCUUUACACCUGUUUCCUUCGCUGUGAAAUGAGAGGGUUAGACCGGAUGAUAUCUAAACCUCCUCCAGCCUCAACUGUCUCCCACUUGUGGAUGCCAUUUUAUGGAUAGAGAAAUCAAAGACUUGAUAAAGACUGCAAAAGUGCAAAUUUGCUCAUAACACAGAAAGUUUCAGAGAGCUGGCAACUCUGGCUAACUUCAAUGGGAAAGGAAUUUUGGGGUGGAAUAUCAAAAUAAACACAGUACUUACAGGAAGGCUAGAAGACCAGGCUCAGGGAAAGAACCAGAAACCAGGAAGACCAACAGGAAGCACAGAAAGUUCACCUCCACAGGACCUGUCCGGUUAUGAAUCACCACUGUUUACAUAGUGAUGCCAGGGAACAUACAAAGCGCAGUGGUUAAGAAUCUGCCUGCCAAUGCAGAGGAUGCGGGUUGAAUCCCUGGUCCAGGAAGAUCCCACAUGCUGCGGAGCAACUAAGCCCAUGCACCACAGCUACCAAGCCUGUGCUCUAGAGCCUGUGAGCCACAACUACUGAGCCUGCACACCACAACUACUGAAGCCCGUGCACCUAGAGCCCGUGCUCCACAACAAGAGAAGCCACCACAGUGAAAAGCCCGCGCACUGCAACGAAGAGUAGCCCCCGCUCGCUGCAACUAGAGAAAGCCUGUGUGCAGCAACGAAGACCCAACACAGCCAAAAAUAAAAAUAAAUAAAAUAAAAUAAAUUAAAAAAAUAAAAGAAUGCAUGUUAUCCAAAUGUUGAGUGAAAUAUUUUAUUAGGUAUUUAUUAGAUGAAGCUUGUAAAUUAUGUUGUUUGCUGAUUUUUGGCUGUUCUAUCAAUUUUUUGAGAAGAUCAUGUUAAAAAUCUCUAAUUAUAAUAAUGAAUUAGUAAAUUCCUCCUUAAAACUCUUACAAUAUUUGCUUUAUGUAUUUUGAGCUAUGUUUUCAGUGCCUACGAGAUUAGAUUUGUAAUGCUUUCCUGGUGAAUAAGACGUUAUUAUUAUACAGCAACUCUACCUCCUUCUUCCAUGUCCUUUUAUAUUUCAGUUACGUCUCUAUUCAAAAGAAUACAACUAGAUUCUUAAAAAAUUGGAUAUGAUAGUCUUUGUUUAUUCCAUUUACAUUUGGUGUGAUGAAUGAUAUAUUUUAAUUUACUUCUGCCUUCUAGUUUUGCUUCCUAUUUGUUCAGCUUUUUAAAGAUUUCUUUAUCAGAUUAUGGAAAUUCCUUUCUAUUCUUAGUUUGCUAUGAGUUUUUAUCUUGAAUUGAAGUUAAACUUUUUUUCAGGCUUUUCUUAAAUCUACUGAGAUGAGCCUAUUAUCUUCUUCAUUAAUCUGUUAAUGUGGUGAAUUGACAGAUUGAUUUUCCUAUGUUAAGCCAGCUUUGCAUUCUUGAAACAAACCCAACUUAGUCAUGACUGUUCACUUUUAAAAUUUAUUUGUGCCUUCUUUUUCUCUCCCUUCUCUUGUUCAGAGGUUUAUUAACUCUUUAAAAACAAAACAACAACUUUGGCUUAGUUUAUUCUAUUUUAUGUUUUUAUUCUAUUUUAUUAAUUUUGGUUCAAACUUUUACUAUUUCAUUUGUUUUUCCAUUCUUUGGGUUAAUGUUAAAAAAAAGGAUUUAAAAAAAAUUUCUUGUGGUGGAUAUUUAACUCAUUAAUUUUCAACCUUUCUCGUUUUCUAAACUUCUUCGUAGUUGUUGCUUUAGCUGUAUCUUGUAAAUUUUGACACAUGGUAUUUUCACUACCAUGAAUAUUAGAAUAUUUUCUGAAUUUCUAUUAUAAUUUUCUUCUUUGACCUACAGACUAUUUAGAAGUAUAUUGCUUAAUUUCUAAGCAUAGUGAUUUACCAUGCUCGCUACUGAUAUCUAGCUUAAUUGCACUGUGAUCACAAGACAUACUCUGUAUUAUUUUAAUGUUUUGAAAAAUUUGAAACUUAAUUUACAGUCAUUAUAUAUUCUUGUGCUUUUGUAACUCUUCCAUAUGUGCUUUAAAAGAUUCUGUAUCAUGCAGUUAUUGAAUAUAG